This is a long non-coding RNA of Symphalangus syndactylus (siamang), 437 nucleotides long. RefSeq lists it as uncharacterized. NCBI's taxonomy places the organism in Eukaryota, Metazoa, Chordata, Mammalia, Primates, Hylobatidae. The record is from RefSeq and is a predicted model, not a curated record.
UUGUUCCUAAGAUACGGCCCAACAUUCUUUGUUUUGUUUGCUUAUUUUUUGAGAUAGGGUCUGUCACCCAGGUGGAGUGCAGAGGCACGAUCACAGCUCACUGCUGACUCGAUGUCCCAGACCCAAGUGGGAGACUCAACCACCAAAGAAUGGGAUUGGAUUGAUCUUGUUUGCCCCUCAAUGAGCCUCUGCUACUGAAUCAUUCUGCAACUUUGGACACACUAUUUAACCUCGCCAAGCUUCAAGUUUCUAAUUAGUAAAACGGUAACAUCAGUACUACUUACCUCAUAGGAUUGCUGUAAGGAUUAAAUGAGAUUGUUCCUGCAGAAGGCUUGUGGUUCAGUGCCUAUGACACAAGAUGCUUUAGCGGGCAGACCACAGGGAAGAGCAGAAAAUGUAGGCAUUCUGGGUAUAGACUGGCUCUGCAAGACAAACCC